RNAcentral lists this small nucleolar RNA (106 nucleotides) under Theobroma cacao (cacao). RNAcentral describes it as "Plant small nucleolar RNA R71". It matches the Rfam family "Plant small nucleolar RNA R71". From Rfam's summary of the family: R71 is a member of the C/D box family of snoRNAs containing the C (UGAUGA) and D (CUGA) box motifs. Multiple nearly identical copies of this snoRNA have been identified in Arabidopsis, and it is thought to function as a 2'-O-ribose methylation guide for 18S ribosomal RNA. Lineage: Eukaryota; Viridiplantae; Streptophyta; Magnoliopsida; Malvales; Malvaceae. The record is from Rfam by way of RNAcentral.
AAUCCAUGGUGAGGGCAUCUUCUCAUCAAUUCCUUAUACCUUUCUCAAGCUUCAUAUAAUGAUUCAGAAUCAAAUUGCAUGAAAGAAGUUAUAUCAUUCUGCAUCU